AUUCUAAAUUUUGCCGAAUGAUUAAGCUUGAAAUCUAGGACACAUUCUAAAUUUUGCCGAAUGAUUAAGCUUUAAAUCUAGGAUACAUUCCAAAUUUUGUGGAAUAAUUAAGCUUGAAAUCUAGGACACAUUCCAAAUUUUUCAAAAUGGUUAAGCUCAAAAUGAUAAUUUUCGUAAGUUGAAACGAGCACGCAUUCCAGGAUUUCAACACUGGUUUACCUUCUGUCCGGUGGUGGUGCGUUAACCAUAUAUUUAAAAGAUGGUAACAUACUUAAAUGUAACUUGUUAUAAUACCAAGGUAUUAAAAGCUAGAAUUUUUCAAAUACAAAUGAAUAAUAGGCAAUUUGGUAGAACUCUGAAAACAAGAAAGUACUAAACAUUUCUGGUUUAUUCACUUGAAAAACUGGUAGUUGUGCGCUUACACUUUGAUAGAAUGUGUACAAUAAUAUUCCGUUUCGUGAAGUGAGCGUUGCGAUGAUCCUUUAAAAGUACUAAACAUUUCUGGUUUACUUCACUUGAAAAACUGGUAGUUGUGCGCUUACACUUUGAUAGAAUGUGUGCAAUAAUCUUCCGUUUCGUGAAGUGAGCGUUGCGAUGAUCCUUUAAAAGUACUAAACAUUUCUGGUUUACUUCACUUGAAAAACUGGUAGUUGUCCGCUUUCACUUUGAGAGAGUGUGUGCAAUAAUCUUCCGUUUCGUAAAGUGAGCGUUGUGAUGAUCCUUUAAAACGAAACUAUCCUUUUAAUAAAGCAUGCAAGUAGGCAUGAUUAGCUUCGUUGUAAGUAUUCUCAAACCAGAACAGUUGGUUUAUUCUUCGUGUAUAGAACAGCCAAUCUUUUAUGUUUGACAGAAGAUGGAUACAGCAAGAAGCAGAAAAAAGAAAGUUUUAUAAUUAAUUAUAUACCUUUAACCCUUAACUAUGAGAUCACAUCAGUAUAUAUAUGACUGUCCUUUCAUAUACAUUAUUGGAUAUGUAUUCUAGGCUAAAACAUUUAUUAUCAACCCACCCGCUCAUCCUUUCAUCCGCGUGGUAUUGAAAAUGAAGAUACUAUGCAAUUACUUUUUCUUACAUGCUCCAUUCUCUCUCAUUUUAUGCUUCCUUUUACUUGAAGACUGAAGAAAAGUAGGCUUACUUCAAUGAAGAAAAGUAGGCUUACUUCAAUGAAAAAAAUAGGCUUACUUCAGUGUUCGUCUUUAAAAUAAAAACUAAUUUCCCACAGUACAAUAUCCUAACACGAAAAAAAAAACAUUCUUCAAUUGAGUUUGUUUUUCAGUUGAAUUUCAUGAUUUCUUUAGAUAUAUCAUAAAUAUUUUGAUUUAAUUCAAAUAGUCUAUUCGCUUUGAUUUACUCUAUUCGUUUAGUUAAUCACAAAGGUACACCAUGGGCUAUCUAUCCUUUGCCCACCACUGGUAUUGAAACUUGAUUCUUAUGGUGGUAAGCCUGCAGACCUACCGCUGAGCCACUGGAUGGGCUACUCUGUUCGUAAAUAAAUUAUACAAUAAUGAAAAGCAUUUUUUACUACAAUAAAGAACAAUUCAAUUAUCAAACCUUCAGGGGACACAAAUCGCCGGUCCCCUUUUUUUGAGAUUCAUUAAAAAAAACAACGAUUUAAUGUUAAAUCACCUUCUUCCAUUCUCGAUAAUGAAGUUGAUGCUAGUUAGAAAUAUUACAAGUGACUUAGAGAAGUACCUCUAAGAGAAGUUUAUGGACUUCCAACAUUAAAAACUGGGGUUAGAUCCCCGUGCUGUGGGCAGAGCUCAGAUAGCCAAUUCUUUGAGUUUGAGAUAAAACAGUUCACGUAUAGUUGAAGAAUAGAUAGUUAGUCCCCCCCCCCCCCCCCGAUUUACCUAAA
Long non-coding RNA from Limulus polyphemus (Atlantic horseshoe crab), 1853 nucleotides. RefSeq lists it as uncharacterized. Lineage: Eukaryota; Metazoa; Arthropoda; Merostomata; Xiphosura; Limulidae. The record is from RefSeq and is a predicted model, not a curated record. The transcript has 2 exons.